UUUAUAUACCGGUUCUCGUUAGAUCACCGAAGUCAUUGGGCGCGGUCAGUACUUGGGUGGGUGACCACCUGGGAACACCGCGUGCCGUU
This 89-nucleotide ribosomal RNA is filed under the name Caerostris darwini. Lineage: Eukaryota; Metazoa; Arthropoda; Arachnida; Araneae; Araneidae. The record is from RNAcentral.